RNAcentral lists this unclassified non-coding RNA (376 nucleotides) under soil metagenome. RNAcentral describes it as "partial contains 5.8S ribosomal RNA, internal transcribed spacer 2, and large subunit ribosomal RNA". The stretch from base 1 to 120 matches the Rfam family "5.8S ribosomal RNA", at positions 35 to 154 of the family's 154-position model. The record is from RNAcentral.
GAUGAAGAACGUAGCGAAAUGCGAUAAGUAAUGUGAAUUGCAGAAUUCAGUGAAUCAUUGAAUCUUUGAACGCAUCUUGCGCUCCUUGGUAUUCUGAGGAGCAUGCCUGUUUGAGUGUCAUUAAAUUCUCAACUACACUGACUUUGAAUUGGUGUGGCUUGGAUUUGGGGGGAAAAUUGUUGUGGGCUUUUUGUAUAGUCUGCUCCCCUGAAAUUGAUUAGCGGUACCUUUGUGGAACUGUCUACAGGUGUGAUAAUUAUCUACAUCUUAGACAUCUGCUGGAAUGCUGCUCUCUAAACCUUACUUGUAUUGACAAUCUUGACCUCAAAUCAGGUAGGACUACCCGCUGAACUUAAGCAUAUCAAUAAGCGGAGGA